UACACGACCGUACCGCAAACCGACACUGGUGCGCGAGAUGAGUAUUCUAAGGCGCUUGAGAGAACUCAGGAGAAGGAACUCGGCAAAUUGACACCGUAACUUCGGAAGAAGGUGUGCCUUUAGUAGGUGAACCUGUACAAGGGGAGCCCAAUGAGGUUGCAAAAAAUCGGUGGCUGCGACUGUUUAAUAAAAACACAGCACUCUGCAAACACGAAAGUGGACGUAUAGGGUGUGACGCCUGCCCGGUGCUGGAAGAUUAAAUGAUGGGGUGCAAGCUCUUGAUUGAAGUCCCAGUAAACGGCGGCCGUAACAAUAACGGUCCUAAGGUAGCGAAAUUCCUUGUCGGGUAAGUUCCGACCUGCACGAAUGGCGUAACGAUGGCCACACUGUCUCCUCCUGAGACUCAGCGAAGUUGAAAUGUUUGUGAUGAUGCAAUCUCCCCGCGGAAAGACGGAAAGACCCCAUGAACCUUUACUGUAGCUUUGUAUUGGACUUUGAACAGAUCUGUGUAGGAUAGGUGGGAGGCUUUGAAGUGUGGUCGCUAGAUCGCAUGGAGCCAACGUUGAAAUACCACCCUGGUGUGUUUGAGGUUCUAACCUAGGCCCGUAAUCCGGGUCGGGGACAGUGCAUGGUAGGCAGUUUGACUGGGGCGGUCUCCUCCCAAAGCGUAACGGAGGAGUUCGAAGGUACGCUAGGUACGGUCGGACAUCGUGCUAAUAGUGCAAUGGCAUAAGCGUGCUUAACUGCGAGACUGACAAGUCGAGCAGAUGCGAAAGCAGGACAUAGUGAUCCGGUGGUUCUGUAUGGAAGGGCCAUCGCUCAACGGAUAAAAGGUACUCUGGGGAUAACAGGCUGAUACCGCCCAAGAGUUCAUAUCGACGGCGGUGUUUGGCACCUCGAUGUCGGCUCAUCUCAUCCUGGGGCUGUAGCCGGUCCCAAGGGUAUGGCUGUUCGCCAUUUAAAGAGGUACGUGAGCUGGGUUUAAAACGUCGUGAGACAGUUUGGUCCCUAUCUUCCGUGGGCGCUGCAGAUUUGAGGAAGCCUGCUCCUAGUACGAGAGGACCGGAGUGGACACACCUCUGGUGUAUCGGUUGUCACGCCAGUGGCAUUGCCGAGUAGCUAUGUGUGGAAGAGAUAACCGCUGAAAGCAUCUAAGCGGGAAACUCGUUUCAAGAUGAGAUCUGCCGGGGCCUUGAGCCCCCUAAAGAGUCGUUCAAGACCAGGACGUUGAUAGGUCGGGUGUGGAAGCGCAGUAAUGCGUUAAGCUAACCGAUACUAAUUGCUCGUGCGGCUUGACCAA
Molecule: ribosomal RNA, 1300 nt
Filed under: metagenome
Description: bacterial LSU rRNA
Rfam family: Bacterial large subunit ribosomal RNA
Source: RNAcentral